CCUACGGGUGGCUGCAGUGGGGAAUAUUGGACAAUGGGGGGAACCCUGAUCCAGCCAUGCCGCGUGUGUGAAGAAGGCCCUCGGGUUGUAAAGCACUUUCAGUGAGGAAGAACGCCUGUUGGUUAAUACCCAUCAGGAAAGACAUCACUCACAGAAGAAGCACCGGCUAACUCCGUGCCAGCAGCCGCGGUAAUACGGAGGGUGCGAGCGUUAAUCGGAAUUACUGGGCGUAAAGCGCGCGUAGGUGGCUUGAUAAGCCGGUUGUGAAAGCCCCGGGCUCAACCUGGGAACGGCAUCCGGAACUGUCAAGCUAGAGUGCAGGAGAGGAAGGUAGAAUUCCCGGUGUAGCGGUGAAAUGCGUAGAGAUCGGGAGGAAUAGCAGUGGCGAAGGCGGCCUUCUGGACUGACACUGACACUGAGGUGCGAAAGCGUGGGUAGCAAACAGGAUUAGAUACCCUAGUAGUC
RNAcentral lists this ribosomal RNA (465 nucleotides) under Vreelandella stevensii. RNAcentral's name for it is "partial 16S ribosomal RNA". It matches the Rfam family "Bacterial small subunit ribosomal RNA", at positions 338 to 795 of the family's 1533-position model. Lineage: Bacteria; Pseudomonadati; Pseudomonadota; Gammaproteobacteria; Oceanospirillales; Halomonadaceae. The record is from RNAcentral.